This 486-nucleotide ribosomal RNA is filed under the name uncultured bacterium. Its description in RNAcentral is "partial 16S ribosomal RNA". It matches the Rfam family "Bacterial small subunit ribosomal RNA", at positions 899 to 1397 of the family's 1533-position model. The record is from RNAcentral.
ACUCAAAUGAAUUGACGGGGGCCCGCACAAGCAGCGGAGCGUGUGGUUUAAUUCGAUGAUACACGAAGAACCUUACCAGGGUUUGACAUGUGCGUUGUAGGGAAGCGAAAGCGGACCGACCCUUCGGGGAGCGCACACAGGUGCUGCAUGGCUGUCGUCAGCUCGUGCCGUGAGGUGUUAGGUUAAGUCCUAUAACGAGCGCAGCCCUUACUGCCAGUUACACGUGUCUGGCGGGACUGCCGGUCAUAAGCCGGAGGAAGGUGGGGAUGACGUCAAGUCAGCAUGGCCUUUAUAUCCUGGGCUACACACACGCUACAAUGGCUGGGACAAUGGGCCGCUAAGCCGCGAGGCGGAGCCAAUCCCCCAAACCCAGCCUCAGUUCGGAUUGUAGGCUGCAACCCGCCUACAUGAAGUUGGAGUUGCUAGUAAACGCGCGUCAGCCAUAGUGCGUUGAAUACGUUCCCGGGCCUUGUACACACCGCCCGU